This 6732-nucleotide long non-coding RNA is filed under the name Homo sapiens (human). Its description in RNAcentral is "HSALNT0385954". The record is from RNAcentral. Lineage: Eukaryota; Metazoa; Chordata; Mammalia; Primates; Hominidae.
AUCACACCAUUGCACUCCAGCCUUGGUGACUGAGUGAGACUCCAACCCUCCCCCCACUGCAAAAAAAAACCUGAUAGGAACAGGACUAUAUGACCACAAUAUGGUAAAGAAUCUGAAUUACAAUGUCCAUCAUUCAUAUUUUUUUAAGUAAAACAUUCUUUUUAACAUAAUCUCAUACCACCUUUACUUUACCAUCAUCUAUAUAAGCAGUCCAUUAUGGCAUGCAUCCUUUGCCCAUGCCAACUUGAAACUCCUUUUGGACAUAGACUGUAUGUAUCUGAAUUAAUAUUGUAUUCCCACUUAGGAAGGUGCCUGGCACACCAUAGGUGUUCAGUAAGAUUCAACUGAAUUCAAGUAGGCAGGUCAAACACUCAUGGGGUCAUUAAUUUGUCCAGAUGGACAUUCAAUUCUGCAGAAGUGUCAGAGAUACCCAAAUUUUGCUUCCAUAGUUUUAUUAAAUAUAAACUAAAUGUACAAGCAAGGAGGAAAGGUUAGUUUACAAAUUUUGCUUCUGGAACUCAAGGACUCUGAAAAAUAGUACUUAGUUAACUUUCAGUCCUCCAGAGAAGAUUUUUUUUGGAAAAUAAUGCCAAAGGGAUCUUGUGGCACACAGCCUUCUAACAUGACUCCCAGAAAUCCGCAUCUCCUGGUGUUCAUGCCAUUGUGUAAUUCCCUUCCAUUGAGUGGGGACUGGAUUUAGUGACUUACUUCCGAUAAGUAGAAUACAGCAGAUGUGAUGUGAUACUACUCCUGAGCUUUGGUUAUAAAAGAUUAUCAUUUCUAUCUUUCUGGCAUCCCCUCUCUGGCUCUUAUGGUGUGCUUGCCCUAAAGGAGAGGGCCAUUGGCAAGGAACUGAGGUGGCCUUCGAUCAACAGCCCACAAGGAAUGGAAUCCUGCCAAUAACAAUCAAAUGGUCCGAGGCAUCCAAGCAUGGCCUAUUGCCUGUGUCUUUAUUCUGAACAGAACAGGGCAGCCUUGGGAAAAUGCUGGCUGCUCAGCUAGCUCACUUAAAAAAAAUCACGUAAGCACUCCCUCUGCUCCUCUUAUUGGUGUUCAAGGCUUGAAGAGAGCUUUAGGGAAGGGUGUCUAAUGGAUCACAUGACUGUACCUACUGGUCCUUUUCCUGCCUUGUUAAUUACAAGGUGUUAUGAUCUUCACCACAGAUUGAUUACAUAAAGGGGAUCAUUUCUUCAUCCCCACCAUUUGCCAUGUAACUUUGUCAUGCCCUGUAUCUCUGACUCUGGCCUCUGUCAUUGACUUGCUGUGCCAAUGUUAGCAAAUGUGAAGCACACACAGGCUUGAAUAGCACUGUGCAACGGGACUUGUUAACACUUACCUUCUACUGUUGCUACAUGAACAUGCCCAGGCUAGCCUGAUGGAUGAUGAGAGACAUGUGGAAUAGAGCAGAGUCACCACAUUCAUCUCAGCUGAGACCUUUCUAGAUGGGUCAACAGCCCUCUACCCCCAGACGUGUGAGCCAGCCCAGCCAAGAUCAGCCAAGUCCAACCUGAAUAAUUGAACACUGAGGUCUUGUUGCAGAAUAAAAGUGUAUUAUUGUAACCCACAGUGGCUUUAUGAUUUUUAAUUAUGCAGCAGUAUUGUGGCAGCAGAUAAUUGAUACAGCCCUCAAAUGGAUAAUCUCUUUGGGUAUGGAGAAACAGGAUUUGGAAACCCAUAAGUGUAAGCCUUCAUAUAUGGGUAGAACAGGUUUCUUGCUCACAAGAGACACCAACUUAAAUUGAAAAGAAAGUGGUUUUGGACUAGUGCUAGGUACUGGUGCAUAAACCCAUGUAUAUACGCACAGGCUCUUGAGGGGUCAGUGAAAGAAGCUGCUGAAAUGUCACUCGUAGAAUGGGCUUCAAACAGGAGUGGGAUUUUCUCACCUUCAUCUAACUCCCUGCUGUUCUUUAAUGCAACUCUCCUAAGCCCCCAGCAUCCAGGUGUUCCUUUUGCCAUUUAUGAUGCUGCUUCUCUCCUACUUUGGGAUACCCUCCCUCUUUUCUGUUCAUCAUUAUCCCCCUGAUGCUAACCCAUUGAAUGGCUCUAUUUUCCUCUUCUCUGCAGUACUUUUAGGUUUUCAGCAUCUGUGUUACAUGCACUAGGCUUUGGUUUUAUAUGAUUACACAUCAGACUGCAACUAUUCUACAUCUAAUCCCUUAAUUAAUCUAUAAGCUCCUGAGAGGAAAGCUAUGGUACUAAAUGCUUUCACAGCGUAAGGCCAAAGUAAAUGCUUUUGGCACUAAGUAAAGGUUUCACAUAUAUUCAUGCCUUGAUUGAGGUGGAACAGGAGACCUACUAGUGAUAUUUAAUAGAAUGCUACCAAUUUCUUCUGUCUGACUGAAAGGCUCAUAGAUUCUAAGCCAUUCCUUUCCAGAAACAUCUUUAAGAACCAUGCUGCAAUUGCUUGUUGAUCAAGGCUUGUCUAACUAUGGUCCUGCUUGAAGGCAGAGAAGCCAUUUCUAUUCAUCCAACCAACCAUUCAAUAAAUAGUUAAUAGGUUCCUUCUAUGUAGAGGAGAUCUCUAUUAUGUAAGGAUAAGUGAUAGAAGAGAAAGACUUGAGUAUAAAUCCACUGAAAAUCAAGGACCAAAAUUUUAUAAGAGUGAAUAAAGUAAAAUGAUCUCAUUGGGUCUGCAUAUUGAUUAAAAUGAAACAAAUAAUUUAUUUUACCUUAUAUUUAGCAAAAUAUAGACUAUAAACACAACAAUUUGUUAACUCUGAGAAUGAACAAAGAAUGAAUCAAAGGAUGAGAUUUUGGCAUAUUUUUUGACAUCCCUUACCUAACCAUUGAUCUUUAUUGAAAUUUUAAAAAGUCAUGUUAAUUACCCUGACUUGAUUAUUACACGUGGUAUAUAUGUUUCAAAUUAUCCCAUGAUACCCUGUAAAUGUGUACAAUUAUGUAUCAAUUUAAAAUAAUAAAAGACAAGUGAUUUUUUGGAGUGAAAAUAUUUGAGAACUUCCUCAGUUUCCCCAAAGACUUCUAUUAACCCUUUAAUAUUUAAAUCACUAAUGAAAACCCUUUUCCUGACAUUUAUUGUUGAUUUUUUUCUUCUUUCAUUGUUGUGUUCAAUGAAACACAUUUAUUUGUUGUAUUUGUUGGUAGUUUUGUGUGUGUUCCCUCCCAGUGGCCUCUACUAUCCUUUUCAUCAACUUUGUGGAAUCUGUGAAUUAACUUUGCCUGGGGCUUACUUUGUAUUUUGCAUUUUAGCUGAAGACUUCCUCCAAAUGGUUCAUAACUGAUAGGAGGGGAUGGUUGCUAGUGUUAAGCAAGACGGGACAAAGGAGUGGAGACUGAACUUCAAUCAGAUAAACCCAAUAUUUAAACUGUAAGGUCCUUGGCUAUGGAAGGUGACUGGAGAACCAUUGAUCCCUGCAUUUUAUAGGAAAAGCAAGGGCCCAUUGGAACCUGUUGCUGUUGGUAAGAGUCUUGCUAUUGGUAAGAGACUUGCUAUUGGUAAGAGACUUUCUCUUGUGUCUGGCUGUGGAACUCCUCUAAUAGAGUGUUUGAGAUUCCAGAUUUGGCUUCUUGGCACCCUUUUGUGUGACCAGGAAGGAAUGCCUCCUUCAUACCCUGUCUUUUGUCGCCUCUUCUGAGAGGCACAGACUCUUGGCUAUAACUUAACCUUCUCUUUCUUGGCAAGUGAUUGUCCUGCUGUCACUUGGGCUUCUAUAGCCAGCAGUAUUAUAGAAAGGUUCAGUUUUAGCUGCUUCUGGCAUUUCUAAGUGGUAAUAAAAUAGGCCCUCUAAGACCCCAGGCAAACGUCUAAAGUGCGGCAUCCAAAAUAAAAAAUAAAAACCCUUUUCUUUGACAGAUUCAACUCUUGUUUUAAAGCCCCUAGACUGUUAUAUUCCUAAGAGAAGUUCCUCUCUCUUAUCAUCUCUGCCAAUAUAAUAGCAGGAAAGAAAAUCUGUGCUCUCUUCACUCCAGGACAGUUACGACCUAUUGGAGAACUUUGUCUUAGGGGUUCCUUGGGGAGAACAGUAUGAUCCUUUGCAAACACCAAUCAGAAGAGGAAGACCUUACAUUUUAAAAGCUUUGUAUAGCUUAUCUCAUUUUAUUCUUAUAAUGAUUUUAUGAUAUAUGUAGUGUAUGAUUGGUUUAUAUUUGGUUGGAAGUGACAUAAAACCUGAUUCAAAAUAGAUCAGGCAAACGUGAAUUUGUAUGUAGAAAUGGCUUCAGUCUGAAAUGAUCCAAUCUCAGGUUCAGAUUCAUCGUAUUUUUGGGUGGCUCUGUUCUACAAGUUCCUCUCUUUGUAGCAAAUAGCUAUACUAGUUCAAAGCAUCACAUCUUCAUAGAACCAAGCCAAGCCCUCUUUUAUCCAGCCUGGAGUUUACUUCUACUGGAUUGCGCCAGUGGUGUGCUUGUCCCUUAAGCUGAUUGUGUAGAUUUCUUCCUGGCUUCAAGUUCAAGGAUGUCAUGUUGGUAGCUCAACAUCAGCCAUAGUGGGAAUAUUUAGGCCAUAGAAAUUGGCAAUUGCUGAAAAUAAGGCUUUUAUUAUUUACAGAGCCAGUUGUCAAACAUUUGUCAGCACACCUGUUUGUACCCAACUUUUAAGAUUUACCAGAAAAAUGGGCUUAUGCCAUUCAUAGGUGGCUUAGGUACUAGAAGUGAAGUUCAAUCUCAAUCAAAUUACACAUCUAAAAAGGAGGUAAGAUGGUGACCCAAAAUAUAUUCAGGGCACUCUUACCAAGGAAGAGGGGUAAUGGAUGCUAGCCCUAAACAACAGAUACUUUAUUUUCCACAGAAGGAAAAAAUGCUGGCUCUGUAUUUUCGAUGAAGCAGCUGAGACUCAAGUGCUACUCAGGCUUUCAGUGGAGGAAGUGCUAGAUCUGACACUAGAACCCAAUUCUUCUGCAUGUCAGUUUCAUUGUUCUUUCUUCUACACACUUCACUAUUCUUACCUGACCUCUCCAGGGUCUGCCUAACAUGGAGAUUGCCAAGCCUGGGGAUGAUAUGAGUCAUUUCCUACAAAAUCCUUUACCAAGUGAUAUCCAAACAGCAUUGGGAUAUCACUGCUGAAUGGUGGCAUUUCUCUGCCUGCAUUUCUUUACUGACAUUGAAUUCAGACUAACUUCCCCUCUCUUUUUCUUUUUUGGCAGGCUCUCUUUACAAGGUGAAUUUAGACAUAUGAGCACUCCAGGAGGAGAUCUGAUUUGACAAACAUGUCUAGAAAGAGGAAAAGCAAGCACUGGCAUUAACUUGGCUUCCACUGAGACUAGGCUCCAUUAGUGAACUAAAUGUUGGUAUUCUGGGAAAAGCCAGCUUGUUACUGGAAAUUUUAAUUCUUUGAAAAAAAUGGCAUUAGAUUUGCCUUUGGUUGUUGCAUUCCAAGAGCUCUUGCCUAUGAAACCUUUCUUGAUCAUAGAGUGCAGCAAGUCUACCAGAAUGUUCAAUUUAUCUGCUACCAGUCAUCAUUUCUUGCCCUGGCAGACAUUGCUAAUCAAUCUGAUGCUGACUCAGCUCACAUUUAAACUAAGAUUUCCUGAGAUGAUUCUGUAUGCAACCACUACCAACUGAUGAGUGCUGACAUGAAUAUGAAACCUGUUUGAACUCCUUGUGCUUUUAUGGUGUGUACUUUACAAUGAACUCUGAUCUAUUCACUACCAUUGAGUUUUAGUGGCAUUUGAUAAUGUUGCACUUGAUUAUAUUGUUAUAGUAUCCUCUUUUUUGAUUCAAAUCUGUUAAAAAUUGUUUAUCUCCAAAACGUUUAAGUACCUAGGGCACUUGGACUGUGUUUUAUACUACUUUGUGACCUUCCCAGUGUCAAGAUGGGUACAGACUAGAUGCUCAAUAAAUAUUUGGGUGAUUAAUUACCUAAGGAAUUAGGAUUAAUCACCUAAAGGAUUCUUUGGUUGAUAAACCUAAGGAAUUCAAUAGAAUGGAAGUCUAGGAAAAACUUUGCUUGCAUGGAACUAUCAAAGUAAAGCUUUGGACUGUGAAUAAUUCAGUCAACCUGCAAGCCUCGAUUAUCUGCUCCGAGUUUGUGAAGACCAUUGCUGUUGUCCCCGAGGUGUAUUGAUAAGUUAACAUGAUCGUAACUCUCAAGAUGUUUAUGGUUCAGUACCAGGAGCAAGAGAGAUAAGUGUGAUCAUCAGAAUUGUAGAAAUAUAAAAGUGGUGCAGAGGAGAAAGACUGAGAUGAAUGAAGUUGACAAGGAUAACAGGUUGAACACUCCAUAGUGGAAAGAGGCAGUGAGAUGGGAAAUUAUUCCAUAAAGCUUCCUUCAAAGAGUGUCAGCAAGAUGCAAUGCCAAUGGAAUAGAAAAAUCUUUAGAAUCACAGUGUCAUAUUUGAGGGACCUUUGACUUUACAUGAAAUUACCACUGCAUGAGUACAGCAACACUUUAAUCUUGGAUAUUCCUUUAUUAUUUAUUCAUCCAACCUAGCUUGCAUAAAUAUUUCCUUGGGCUUUUUUGUUUUUCCAUGUUUGUUGGCACUGAUUUUUCAGCAAAGGAGCCUCUUAGACUGAAUGUGCUGUUAAACUGUGGCCUCCUAGGCCUAACCCACUUGAUAGCCUGCAGUUUGUGAUGGUACCUCUGCUGCCCACUCCAACCACAUCCCCUUCUUCUACCUGCCUGAUCCACCCAGAUCCCCUCUGAUUAAUUAUUCACACCUAUAUAUCUUCAACUUCCAUUAGGACCUCCCUCACGUUGUGGUGCUUCUUUACCCGCAAAAUGCAGAGCCCUGGCCGGGUGCGGUGGCUCACGCCUGUAAUCCCAGCACUUAGGGAGGC